Molecule: ribosomal RNA, 451 nt
Filed under: uncultured Fibrobacter sp.
Lineage: Bacteria; Pseudomonadati; Fibrobacterota; Fibrobacteria; Fibrobacterales; Fibrobacteraceae
Description: bacterial SSU rRNA
Rfam family: Bacterial small subunit ribosomal RNA
Source: RNAcentral
ACGGGAGGCAGCAGUAGGGAAUAUUGCACAAUGGGGGGAACCCUGAUGCAGCAACGCCACGUGUGGGAAGAAGCAUUUCGGUGUGUAAACCACUGUCGUGCGGGAAUAAUGCUUGGUCUCGGCCAAGUUGAAUGUACCUCGAAAGGAAGCACCGGCAAACUUCGUGCCAGCAGCCGCGGUAAUACGAGGGGUGCAAGCGUUGUUCGGAAUCACUGGGCGUAAAGGGAGCGUAGGCGGAGACGCAAGCAGUCUGUAAAAUCCCGGGGCCCAACCCCGGACCUGCAGACUGGACUGUGUCUCUUGGAUAGUUCAGGGGCAGGCGGAAUGCCUGGUGUAGCGGUGGAAUGCGUAGAGAUCAGGAAGAACCCCGAUGGCGAAGGCAGCCUGCUGGGGACUCAUCGACGCUGAGGAUCGAAAGUGCGGGUAGCAAACAGGAUUAGAUACCCUGGUA